GAGCGCUCACUUAGGCACACAAAUAUUAAAAUUUGAAUGGCACAGAGAUGAUUAGCAUGGCUUCUAUGCAAGGAUGACAUGCAAAUUCGUGAAGCAUUCUGUAUUUUU
This is a small nuclear RNA of Suricata suricatta (meerkat), 108 nucleotides long. NCBI's taxonomy places the organism in Eukaryota, Metazoa, Chordata, Mammalia, Carnivora, Herpestidae. The record is from Ensembl.